This 368-nucleotide long non-coding RNA is filed under the name Homo sapiens (human). Its description in RNAcentral is "HSALNT0397143". Lineage: Eukaryota; Metazoa; Chordata; Mammalia; Primates; Hominidae. The record is from RNAcentral.
CUCAUCAGAAACUUCCCUUCCAGGCCUGAAGCCUUCCAGUAGCCUCUUUGUGGACAUGUCAGAGCUUUGGUAGAGUCUGAGGCUCAAGUUCAAAUCCUGAGCAAGGUCUUAAAUAUUCCUGCUCAGCCGGAUUCACCCUUUGGGAUGUGAGUACUAGUGGAAGAGAAAAUUUGGACACACAGGGAGAAAACCACAGGGAGGAGAUGGCCAUCUACAAUUCCAGAAAAGCAGCCUCAGAAGAAACCAAUCUGCAAACAUCUUUAUCUGCAACUCCCUGCCUCCCAAAUGAUUACAGGUCAAGAGGAGACAUCUUUAAAAACGUGUCCAGCCAAUCGGUUCUUCAGAUGCGUUCAUGAAGUCACACCUGC